GUCACCAGAUCUGGCCUCAACAUAUCAAGAAGAACCCAGAGUUCCCGGACUCUCACCUCCUAAAUCUUUGGGUGUGAUCCUCAGGAGAUUCAGCAUACCUUUAACACAUGAACCAUUUAUUAUAAUAGCUUUUGAAAGCCUAUAUUUACUGGUGUGGACAUUUCAUUAAGAGCCUGUCACAUUUUUAAAAUAAUAAUAUCCAUGAGCAAGUCACCUGUCAAGAUCUACAAAAGGAAGACCCUGUACAACUCAUUUGUUUCAGGGAAAGGGAGACAUUGGGUGACAGCUAGAGCCUAAAAAGACACACAGAUAUGUGUCUGCUCAGAAGUAAGUCCAAGUAAGAUCAACAGGACUUCCUUUCAGGUAGGUGAGUAGAAGAUUACAGCCUUGUAUGUUUGGGUUUUAUGGGGGAAAGAUUAUACAGUACAAUCUCAUGCACCUCUAUUCAGUUUAGACUUACUUCUGAGUAGACAUGGAUAGGAAUGCGCUGCUGUUAAUUCAUUUUAAUUUUGUAUAUAGUUCAAUAGACUGCUAUAGAACAAGGAAAUAAAUCGGCUAAAUAAGCAAAAGAUGUUUUCAAAGUGUGAACAUCCUUUCCAUGAGAAUAAAUGUGCCUGGGCAAUGAGUCCUGCCUGCCCCCAUUAAAGUGAAUGACAAACUUUCCUUUGCCUUCACAGGAGCUAAGAUUUCACUCAAUGUGACACAAGCAGAUUAUUUCCAAACAGACUGUCUUUUUGUGUUUUCUAGAAGGCAUCAGGGCUUCUUUAAAACUGAACAGUGGCCAGGCACGCAAUAGGCAAUGUGGUUCCCUUCUGCACAUACAUAAAAGCCCAGCUGAGGAUGUCAUGGGGUUUUCAGGAAGUAAAGACACCCAGAGAGGCUGCAUGGGUGCAGAUUUGAAGACUGAAAGAAAAGGACGCACACAAACAUCCCUUGGCCACCUCAGAACAUUUCACAGAAUCUUCUGUUGACCUCUCGGUUCAGAAUCGUUCCUACCAUAGUAGCAGCUGUCCCUGCCGAAGAAAUCAUGGAUUCAGUUAAAUUCCCCCCAAGCAUCUCGAGGCCUUUAGGCAUGUGC
This is a non-coding RNA of Zootoca vivipara (common lizard), 1078 nucleotides long. NCBI's taxonomy places the organism in Eukaryota, Metazoa, Chordata, Lepidosauria, Squamata, Lacertidae. The record is from RefSeq and is a predicted model, not a curated record.